Molecule: transfer RNA, 76 nt
Filed under: Salmonella enterica subsp. enterica serovar Enteritidis
Lineage: Bacteria; Pseudomonadati; Pseudomonadota; Gammaproteobacteria; Enterobacterales; Enterobacteriaceae
Description: tRNA-Asn
Rfam family: tRNA
About the family: Transfer RNA (tRNA) molecules are approximately 80 nucleotides in length. Their secondary structure includes four short double-helical elements and three loops (D, anti-codon, and T loops). Further hydrogen bonds mediate the characteristic L-shaped molecular structure. tRNAs have two regions of fundamental functional importance: the anti-codon, which is responsible for specific mRNA codon recognition, and the 3' end, to which the tRNAs corresponding amino acid is attached (by aminoacyl-tRNA synthetases). tRNAs cope with the degeneracy of the genetic code in two manners: having more than one tRNA (with a specific anti-codon) for a particular amino acid; and 'wobble' base-pairing, i.e. permitting non-standard base-pairing at the 3rd anti-codon position.
Source: RNAcentral
UCCUCUGUUGUUCUGUCGGUUGAUCGGCGGACUGUUAUUCCGUAUGUCACUGGUUCGUGUCCAGUCAGAGGAGCCA